This 383-nucleotide ribosomal RNA is filed under the name uncultured eukaryote. RNAcentral's name for it is "partial 18S ribosomal RNA". It matches the Rfam family "Eukaryotic small subunit ribosomal RNA", at positions 592 to 976 of the family's 1831-position model. The record is from RNAcentral.
CAAUAGCGUAUAUUAAAGUUGUUGCAGUUAAAAAGCUCGUAGUUGGAUUUCUGGUAGGAGUGACCGUUCCGAACUUGAUUGUUCGUGUAUUGUGUUUUCUCCAGCCAUCCUUGUGGAGAACUUUUCUUGCAUUAAUUUGUAGGGAUUGGGACCCGCAUCGUUUACUGUGAAAAAAUUAGAGUGUUUAAAGCAGGCAAUCGCUUGAAUACAUUAGCAUUGAAUAAUAAGAUAGGACUUUGGUACUAUUUUGUUGGUUUGCAUACCAAAUUAAUGAUCAACAGGAACAGUUUGAGGAUAUUCGUAUGAACAUGUCAGAGGUGAAAUUCUUGGAUUUUGAUCAGACGAACUACUGCGAAAGCAUUUAUCAAGGAUGUUUUCAUUAA